CUUUGAUAUACUGUGGUGUUUUGGACAGGCACGGUGAAGUCAGAGAGUGAGGAAACUGUGAAACCUGAACAACAUGGUGGUGGAUUCGGUGACAAUGGAGGAGGAAGAUACCAAGGAGGAGGCGGCCAUGGUGGCCACGGAGGGGGAGGAUACCAAGGAGGAGGAGGACGAUACCAAGGAGGCGGUGGGCGACAAGGAGGAGGGGGAAGUUACUGCCGCCACGGCUGCUGCUACAAAGGUUACCAUGGCUGCUCAAGGUGUUGUUCAUAUGCCGGAGAAGCGGUUCAGACUCAGUCUGGUCACUAAAUCUACAUAAUAUAUCAACCACCAUGAGUGUACGAUUUCAUUUAUAUAUACACUUACGUGUGUAUGUGAUAUGACAAUACACUUACGUUUGUAAUGAAGUGCCUUAAGUUUAAGAGGAGAAACUAUCGGAAUAAAGUUUCAUAAUGUAAUGCCUUUGUGUUUAUU
This 471-nucleotide small RNA is filed under the name Arabidopsis thaliana (thale cress). RNAcentral's name for it is "ATSL083610". The record is from RNAcentral. Lineage: Eukaryota; Viridiplantae; Streptophyta; Magnoliopsida; Brassicales; Brassicaceae.